This 400-nucleotide long non-coding RNA is filed under the name Ananas comosus (pineapple). RNAcentral describes it as "long non-coding RNA (ACOM_LNC022935)". Lineage: Eukaryota; Viridiplantae; Streptophyta; Magnoliopsida; Poales; Bromeliaceae. The record is from RNAcentral.
CUUUACAAAAAAUUAAGAUUAUAUUUUCUAUCAUAAUUUUGAUUUUUAUAUCCGAAUUGUAGACAGUAAUUCUUACUCGUAAUUCAUUCUCGCUCACGAUCUGCAACAAGGCAAGAAUGAAGCCGUCACAAAAAUUAAGAUUAGGACUAGAUAGGAAAUUCCAUAUAUUACAUAUUUAUAUAUAACUUAUGUAAGAAUAUUAAAUCACGUCCGUUCAUCAAGAACAUGUCAAGAUACAUCCUAAUCGUUGGAUAAAUCGUAUCCUUAUAGAUCGACUUGAAUAGACUGACUGUAUUUUUAUAGAUUGCCUUAAUUAAAUCAUAAUCACAUGGGCCACAUCCAACACAUAUAUCCUCUCAAAUUUUUAAUUUUUUUUUAUUGGACCAAUAUACUUUAUUAA